CCUACGGGGGGCAGCAGUGAGGAAUAUUGGUCAAUGGGCGAGAGCCUGAACCAGCCAAGUCGCGUGAGGGAUGAAGGAUCUAUGGUUUGUAAACUUCUUUUAUAUGGGAAUAAAGUGAGGAACGCGUUCCUUUUUGUAUGUACCAUAUGAAUAAGCAUCGGCUAACUCCGUGCCAGCAGCCGCGGUAAUACGGAGGAUGCGAGCGUUAUCAGGAUUUAUUGGGUUUAAAGGGUGCGUAGGUGGUUAAUUAAGUCAGCGGUGAAAGUUUGUGGCUCAACCAUAAAAUUGCCGUUGAAACUGGUUGACUUGAGUAUAUUUGAGGUAGGCGGAAUGCGUGGUGUAGCGGUGAAAUGCAUAGAUAUCACGCAGAACUCCGAUUGCGAAGGCAGCUUACUAAACUAUAACUGACACUGAAGCACGAAAGCGUGGGGAGCAAACAGGAUUAGAUACCCGAGUAGUC
RNAcentral lists this ribosomal RNA (460 nucleotides) under uncultured bacterium. Its description in RNAcentral is "partial 16S ribosomal RNA". It matches the Rfam family "Bacterial small subunit ribosomal RNA", at positions 338 to 795 of the family's 1533-position model. The record is from RNAcentral.